UAGGUUCCGGCAUUUAUAGAGUGUCGGAUGAAAAGGGAAACAGGUGUAAGUCCUGUACGAACUCGUCACUGUAAUCGGGGAGUGCAAAGCCAUAGAUGUCACUGAGUAAGAACUUGGGAAGGCGGUUUUGUAUAGAGAUCCGUAAGUCAGGAGACCUGCCUAUUGAA
RNAcentral lists this non-coding RNA (167 nucleotides) under uncultured Frisingicoccus sp. The record is from RNAcentral. Lineage: Bacteria; Bacillati; Bacillota; Clostridia; Lachnospirales; Lachnospiraceae.